GAGUUUGAUUCUGGCUCAGGACAAACGCUGGCGGCGUGCAUAACACAUGCAAGUCGAACGAGAUCUACAUGAUUUAGUGGCGAACGGGUGAGUAACACGUGAGAAACCUGCCUUACACAGAGGGAUAGCCGUUGGAAACGACGAUUAAUACCUCAUGACACCGUGACAUCGCAUGAUGAUGCGGUCAAAGAUUUAUCGGUGUAAGAUGGUCUCGCGCCUGAUUAGCUGGUUGGUGGGGUAACGGCCUACCAAGGCGACGAUCAGUAGCCGAUCUGAGAGGGUGGACGGCCACAUUGGGACUGAGACACGGCCCAAACUCCUACGGGAGGCAGCAGUGGGGAAUUUUGCACAAUGGGGGAAACCCUGAUGCAGCGACGCCGCGUGAACGAAGAAGGCCUUCGGGUUGUAAAGUUCUGUCCUUGGUGAAGAUAAUGACAUAACCAAGAAG
RNAcentral lists this ribosomal RNA (448 nucleotides) under Helcococcus sp. canine oral taxon 069. Its description in RNAcentral is "bacterial SSU rRNA". It matches the Rfam family "Bacterial small subunit ribosomal RNA", at positions 9 to 486 of the family's 1533-position model. The record is from RNAcentral. Lineage: Bacteria; Bacillati; Bacillota; Tissierellia; Tissierellales; Peptoniphilaceae.